CUCCCCAGGCGGAGUGCUUAAUGCGUUAGCUACGGCACUAAACCCCGGAAAGGGUCUAACACCUAGCACUCAUCGUUUACAGCGUGGACUACCAGGGUAUCUAAUCCUGUUUGCUCCCCACGCUUUCGAGCCUCAGCGUCAGUUACAAGCCAGAGAGCCGCUUUCGCCACUGGUGUUCCUCCAUAUAUCUACGCAUUUCACCGCUACACAUGGAAUUCCACUCUCCCCUCUUGCACUCAAGUUAAACAGUUUCCAAAGCCUACUAUGGUUAAGCCACAGCCUUUAACUUCAGACUUAUCUAACCGCCUGCGCUCGCUUUACGCCCAAUAAAUCCGGACAACGCUCGGGACCUACGUAUUACCGCGGCUGCUGGCACGUAGUUAGCCGUCCCUUUCUGGUAAGAUACCGUCACAGUGUGAACUUUCCACUCUCACACUCGUUCUUCUCUUACAACAGAGCUUUACGAUCCGAAAACCUUCUUCACUCACGCGGCGUUGCUCGGUCAGACUUCCGUCCAUUGCCGAAGAUUCCCUACUGCUGCCUCCCGUAGGA
Molecule: ribosomal RNA, 552 nt
Filed under: uncultured Streptococcus sp.
Lineage: Bacteria; Bacillati; Bacillota; Bacilli; Lactobacillales; Streptococcaceae
Description: partial 16S ribosomal RNA
Source: RNAcentral